This 487-nucleotide ribosomal RNA is filed under the name uncultured bacterium. Its description in RNAcentral is "bacterial SSU rRNA". It matches the Rfam family "Bacterial small subunit ribosomal RNA", at positions 501 to 987 of the family's 1533-position model. The record is from RNAcentral.
CUACGUGCCAGCAGCCGCGGUAAUACGUAGGUCCCGAGCGUUGUCCGGAUUUAUUGGGCGUAAAGCGAGCGCAGGCGGUUAGAUAAGUCUGAAGUUAAAGGCUGUGGCUUAACCAUAGUACGCUUUGGAAACUGUUUAACUUGAGUGCAAGGGGGGAGAGUGGAAUUCCAUGUGUAGCGGUGAAAUGCGUAGAUAUAUGGAGGAACACCGGUGGCGAAAGCGGCUCUCUGGCUUGUAACUGACGCUGAGGCUCGAAAGCGUGGGGAGCAAACAGGAUUAGAUACCCUGGUAGUCCACGCCGUAAACGAUGAGUGCUAGGUGUUAGACCCUUUCCGGGGUUUAGUGCCGUAGCUAACGCAUUAAGCACUCCGCCUGGGGAGUACGACCGCAAGGUUGAAACUCAAAGGAAUUGACGGGGGCCCGCACAAGCGGUGGAGCAUGUGGUUUAAUUCGACGCAACGCGAAGAACCUUACCAGGUCUUGACAU